RNAcentral lists this ribosomal RNA (793 nucleotides) under uncultured archaeon. Its description in RNAcentral is "bacterial SSU rRNA". It matches the Rfam family "Archaeal small subunit ribosomal RNA", at positions 85 to 879 of the family's 1478-position model. The record is from RNAcentral.
ACUGCUCAGUAACACGUGGACAACCUGCCCUUAGGUUGGGUAUAAACCCGGGAAACUGGGUAUAAUACCCGAUAGGUCUCGAUUGCUGGAAUGCAUCGAGAUUUAAAGCUCCGGCGCCUAAGGAUGGGUCUGCGGCCUAUCAGGUAGUAGUGGGUGUAGCGUACCUACUAGCCUACGACGGGUACGGGUUGUGAGAGCAAGAGCCCGGAGAUGGAUUCUGAGACACGAAUCCAGGCCCUACGGGGUGCAGCAGGCGCGAAAACUUUACAAUGCUGGCAACAGCGAUAAGGGAACCUCGAGUGCCAGGUUACAAAUCUGGCUGUCGAGAUGCCUAAAAAGCAUUUCAUAGCAAGGGCCGGGCAAGACCGGUGCCAGCCGCCGCGGUAACACCGGCGGCUCGAGUGGUAACCGUUAUUAUUGGGUCUAAAGGGUCUGUAGCCGGCCGGAUAAGUCUCUUGAGAAAUCUGGCAGCUUAACUGUCAGGCUUUCAGGAGAUACUGUCUGGCUCGAGGCCGGGAGAGGUGAGAGGUACUUCAGGGGUAGGGGUGAAAUCUUGUAAUCCUUGAAGGACCACCAGUGGCGAAGGCGUCUCACCAGAACGGACCUGACGGCAAGGGACGAAAGCUAGGGGCACGAACCGGAUUAGAUACCCGGGUAGUCCUAGCCGUAAACGAUACUCGCUAGGUGUCGGCCACGGUGCGACCGUUGUCGGUGCCGUAAGGAAGCCGUGAAGCGAGCCACCUGGGAAGUACGGCCGCAAGGCUGAAACUUAAAGGAAUUGGCGGGGGAGCAC